GCUUACGGCCAUACCCGCCUGGGUACGCCCGAUCUCGUCUGAUCUCGGAAGCUAAGCAGGGUCGGGCCUGGUUAGUACUUGGAUGGGACACCGCCUGGGAAUACCAGGUGCUGUAAGCA
This 119-nucleotide ribosomal RNA is filed under the name Salmo salar (Atlantic salmon). The record is from RNAcentral. Lineage: Eukaryota; Metazoa; Chordata; Actinopteri; Salmoniformes; Salmonidae.